UACAGAGACUGCAAGCGUUAUUCGGAUUCACUGGGCGUAAAGGGUGCGCAGGCGGCCAAGUGUGUUAGGCGUGAAAGCCCGGGGCUUAACCUGGGAAUUGCGCUUGAUACUGACGUGCUAGAGAACGGGAGAGGAUGGCGGAAUUCCCAGUGUAGAGGUGAAAUUCGUAGAUAUUGGGAAGAACACCGGUGGCGAAGGCGGCCAUCUGGACCGUUUCUGACGCUGAGGCGCGAAAGCGUGGGGAGCAAACAGG
Molecule: ribosomal RNA, 253 nt
Filed under: uncultured bacterium
Lineage: Bacteria
Description: partial 16S ribosomal RNA
Rfam family: Bacterial small subunit ribosomal RNA
Source: RNAcentral